CAUCACUGCUGUUUAAUUCUAGAGUAUUUUCAUUGCCCCUCCUUCCAGAAAAAUUCUGAAUACCUCCCAUACCCACUAGCACUUCCGGCUUCCCUUUUCCUUAGCCUCUGUCAUCCACUAGUGUACUUUCCUGUCCACAGAUUUUCCCAUGUGGACAUUUUGGGUAAAUGUUUAUUUGUAUGACAGGCCUGUGUUUCUAGCUCUCUUCAUGUUUUAAGGACAUCCAUUUUGUUGUAUGUAUUGCUACUUGGUUCCUUUUUAUGGCUGAGUAAUAGUCCAUCACGUGGACACACCACAUGGACACACCACAAUCCGCUGACUAGUUGAGUUGUUGGUACUUUUUGGCUAUUGUGAAUAAUGCUGCAAAGAAAGCUUGCAUACAGAUUUUGUAUGAACAUAUUUGAUAACAUGUUUGGUGCUGCUGUCAAGUUUUGCUCUGUUGUUACAUGGUUACAAAUUGAGAAUCAUCCCCCAUAACUUGGGGAUGAGUUGACUUUUUUUUUUUUUAUCUUUGUGAAACUUCCCCCUUCAUCCCUAGUAGAGUUUCUGCCUUAUGAUCUACUUUGCAUUGCAUGGUAGAUCAGUUUUCUUUUUUCUUUCUCUUUUGAAAUGAUUUAACGUUUUUAGAGUGAUUUUACAGCAAAGGAAGGUAAGAGAUUUCCAUGUACUCCCCAGCCCCACACCCGCUAGCUUCUCCAUGAUCAGCAUCCCCUGCCAGUGAUGCAUAUCAUUGAAUUUGAUGAACCCACACGACACAGCGUAAUCACCCAAAGUCUGUGGUUAGCUUUAGAGUUCACUCUUGGUGGUGCACAUUCUGUGGGUUUGGACAAGUGUAUGGUGAAAUGUACCCACUGCAGCAGAAGAGGCUUUUCACUGCCCUAAAACCCCUCUGUGCUCUGCCUGUCCAUCCCUUCUACCUUCUCACAUCCCUAACCCAGUCGUUUUCCUAUCUCCACAGUUUUGCUUUUCCAGAAUGUUCUACAGUGUGGAGUCUUUUCAGAUUGGCUUCGUUCACUUGGUAAUAUUCAUUUAAGGUUCCUUCAUGUCUUCUCAUGGCUUGAUAACUCAUUCUCUUUACCGGAGAAUAAUAUUCCAUUUUCUGGAUGUACCUCAGUUUAUC
This 1120-nucleotide long non-coding RNA is filed under the name Marmota monax (woodchuck). Lineage: Eukaryota; Metazoa; Chordata; Mammalia; Rodentia; Sciuridae. The record is from RNAcentral.